Malus domestica (apple) is the source of this 101-nucleotide small nucleolar RNA. RefSeq annotates it as small nucleolar RNA R64/Z200 family. The record is from RefSeq and is a predicted model, not a curated record. Lineage: Eukaryota; Viridiplantae; Streptophyta; Magnoliopsida; Rosales; Rosaceae.
UCUCUGCUGUGAUGAUUUCUGAAUUAAUUCACAUGUCAGACUUCAGAGAUUUAUUUAUUUUAAAUCAAUGAGAAUGAAAAUUCAAAUUAUCUGAGCAGAUC